Molecule: long non-coding RNA, 1830 nt
Organism: Oncorhynchus masou masou (cherry salmon)
Lineage: Eukaryota; Metazoa; Chordata; Actinopteri; Salmoniformes; Salmonidae
Exons: 2
Source: RefSeq, a predicted model, not a curated record
UUCUUCAACAACUGCAGCCACCUCGGUAGCUCGCUAGCCAACAAAGUCUGAACAUUCAAGUUCUUUAGACAAUUUCGUGGUUUAUUUGCCACUAUCUUUGAAACAUACUUAUGUGUAAACAACUAUUUACCCCAUGUAAUUUUAGAUUUAAAAUUAGGUAUUAAUAUUUAACAGCCAACUAGCUGGCUGGUUAAGUUAGCACUUGUCUAGUCGCUAAUGCUAGCUAGCUAACAUCUCUGACCAUGAGUUCACUAAGCUACUCCUCCUGCUAAAGAAGAGGAGGUCUGCUGGACGGAGACAGAAACUCUCGUGAAAGAGGAGGAGGAGGAGAAGGAUGUUACAAUACUAAAACAAGUAGAGGGUGAGGCUGUUACCGUAAAAGAAGAGUGACGUUACAGUGAAAGAGGAGGAAGACGUUUUCGAAUGAAUGUAUAUGAUGAUGAUGAUGUAGAGGGGGAGAUUACUGUCACAUUAGAGGAGGACGAAGAAGAGAAGACUGGAAAACUGAUUAAAACCAGUAAAUACAGAGUGAGAAGUGACUAUCGAGGAUCCUCUGGGGAGCCUCAACAACCUCAUGAUGCUGGCAAGGCAGAGAAGAGUCUCUCCGGAUCAAAAUACCUCAAGAAACACCAGCAGAGACCCUAAAUGAAGAAAAAUUAAUGAUGCUCUGACUGCGGGAAGAGUUUUGUUUCUUUAGGACAUUUAAAAUCACACCAGAGAACACACAUGGGAGAGAAACCUUAUAGCUGUGCUCAAUGUGGGAAGAGAUGCACUCAGUCAACAGACCUUAAAAAAACAUGAGAGAAUAGAUACAGGAGAUAAACCUUAUAGCUGCUCUGACUGUGGACAGAGUUUUGUUUUUUUUCAGUUAAGAUUACACCAGAGAACUCACACGGGAGAGAAUCCUUAUAGAUGUGCUCAACGUGGGAGGAGUUUUACUCAGUUAAGUAACUUGAUAGUACAUCAGAGAAUACACAGAGAGAGAAACCUCAUAGCUGUGAUCAAUGUGACAAGAGAUACUCUGAUAAAAGAUCUCUGAUCAAACAUUGGAAAAUACAUACAUGAAGGAGUUGUUUCAUGAUAAAAAUGAAUUAAUGUCACAAUGUAGAAUGUAAAUGUACUAGAGCAUGACAUUGGGGACUGGGCCCCGAUCCAAAAACAUGCUUAUCUAGUGAACCCUGAAAAGAAAGAGAAGCUCCGCAGUGAGGUGGAAAGUUUCUACGGAAAUCACAGGAGUUUCCUCUUGAAAUCAGACAUGUCUGUGGUAAGGAUGUAACAGUAUAACUUUAGACCGUCCCCUCGCCCAUACCUGGGCGCGAACCAGGGACCCUCUGCACACAUCAACAACUGACACCCACGAAGUAUCGUUACCCAUCGCUCCACAAAAGCCGUGGCCCUUGCAGAGCAAGGGGAACUACUACUUCAAGGUCUCAGAGCAAGUGACGUCACCGAUUGAAACGCUAUUUAGCGCGCACCACCGCUAACUAAGCUAGCCGUUUCACAUCCGUUACAAGGACAACUCGGUUGCUGAUCGUCUCAAGGGUGAGCAGUCAAAAAUAUUUGGGUUUUGUGUUUAGCCAGUGCGAUGCCAUGGAUCACAAUUUAUUUGGACUUUCCGUAUUGGAGAGGAGUUUUGUUUGGACUCGUUCCAAGGGGACGAGAGUUCCAGAAGUGAAAUAAUAUUUUAAUCAAUGGUAUAUUCUGUUUUUUAUCCUCUUAUGUUUGUGUACUAAAUAUUUAUGUUUAUUUUCAUAGUUUUUUCCUGUGAAGCCAUUGUGUUGCCUCCAUGUCUGAAAUAUGCUGGAAAAAUAAAGCUUGAUUUGAUUUGAA